AGAAGGGGCCCUGGUGGUCUUGGCCAUCCCCCAAAGGCCCUGCGGAGACACAGUGACAGAGCUAGGGCCCAGCCUUGCCACUUCCUAGCUGUAUACCCUUGGGCACCUUCACUACCUCUCUGAGACACUUACUGCCACAGCAACUGAACAGGAUCAAAUAAGAUGAUAGAAGUGAAAGUGGUUUGGGACUUAAAAGCUUUCAGGAAAUGUCACCACUUCCUCUACAACAUGCGAGAUCUGAUCAUAACACUUCUCCCACCCUACUCUCUCCUGCAAACCCCUGAGCCUCCGGCGACACCAACCACCUGCUGUUCUCUGAAUGUGCCAUGUUCUCUCCCACCUCUGGGCCUUUGCACAGGCUGUGUCCUACCUGGAGUGCCUUCUCCUCAGCCUUGUCCUCUUUGCAAACUCUCAGCUUUACAACAUGCUGGCAGGGUGACCUUGGAGAAGGGACUUCACCUCCCGAGACCUCAGUUUCUACAAAAUGGGGACGUGUAUGUGCCUACUUCCUGGGGCUGCUGGGAGAAUUGAACAAGCUGCACCCCCAGGCUCUGCCAGCAUCGCCAACCCUGCUUCCUGCACACCCUGAUGAUCUCCUUCAGAAACCCGGCCGUUUGCUAGGAGCCUGUUUAACUCAUCCUCCAGGACUCAUUGGUCACUCCUCUUCCAUGAAGAUGGUCCUGCCCUUUCUCUUCCCUCCAUCCCUGCUUCACCCAAGAUUCUGUGUACCUCCUUUCACUGGCCAACCUCCAGGACACGAGCUCCUGCAAAGCAGCGCUGGACUUUUGUUUCAGACUCUCAGGUCAAGCACGGGAAAUAUUUCUCAAUGAAUCAAUGAAUGAAAUGAGUCCAUGAGUGAAUGUCUGGGAAAGGGAACAAGUGACAGAGUCACCAGUCCCCUCAGCCCUAGCGUGAGGCUCCCCUACCCUCUAUGGCCACUCCUGCUUCCUCUUUCCCCUUGUCUACAGCCCAGGCCACACCCCUCUCGGCAGGGGGCUUCAGGGGGUGGGUCUGGUAGCCAUUCUGCCCAUCACCUCCAGCAGAGAGAACCUAGCCCAGAAUGUCAGCUCCAUCAGGCGGCAUGAGUUGCUGGAACCCUGCUGUCUGCAUCCCGCCUCUUCCUGUGGCCUCAGCGGAGGGGAGACCCGAUAGUUGAUAGGGAGUGGGAGGGGCCCCGUACCUGGUGGGUCACGGGGACAUGCGGUCCUCACCAGGGGAGGAGCAGCAGCAGCACAACCAUUCUCCCCACCCCAGAUUCAGCAUGUCCUCACCCAACAGGCAGGCUCUCCAUCUUCCGGGGACCCUGAUAUUUAAGGAAAUUAAGGUCAGGUCUGGCUGGUAAAUAUUUGUUUAAGCUGAAUAGAAAAUGGUGCCUGAGAAGAAGGCCUUAUUUUAUGAGCAAAUAAAUUGCAUGAGGGAGAGUGGGCUGAGAGAGGGGAGGCGGGGCAGGACGCUCAAUUACUUAGAGCAGGAAGUGCCUCCCCAAGUCUGGGAGGCUGUCCAUGUUCCCCCUUUUUAAAGGCGUGGCUCCUCCACUUUACUCCGUGGGCCAAGGCAGGGGGUCUUGCCUUCCUUGCCUGGAUCCAUAGCAGGCCAUUCCAGGCUGCCCUUCCCUGAAUGACUGCACAUUGUGAUUCCCCAGGGCAGCCAAGCAGGGGAGAGUUUGACCUCCGGGCUCAUCUGGACCAAGUCUGCAUCCCAGUUCCGCCAUCGAGCAGCUGUGUGGUUUAGGAAAUCUCGGUCUCCCUGAAGCUCAGUUUUCUCAUCUGUGUAAUGGGGGUAAGCUUGCACUGACUUCAUCAGUCGUUGUAAGCACGAAGUGGGGCACUGCAUGUGAAGUGCUCAGCCUGGUGUGUGGUCCAUGGGGGUGUGCCUGUGGUCAGCAGAAUAAUGGCCUCCAAAGACAUCCACGUCUACUCCCCAGAACCCGUGAAUGUGGCACCUUACGUGGCAAGCGGGGGAUCAAGGCUGCAGAAGGAAUUAGGGCUACUGAUCAGUUGACCUUGAGAUGGGGAGACUAACCUGGGUUAUCCGCGUGGCCCAAGGUAAUCACAGAGUCCUUAGAAGUGGAAGAGGGAGGCAGAGGAGUCAAUGUCAAAGUGAUGCAGUAUGAGGACGAAUCCACCAGGAUUGCUGGCUUUCAACACGGAAGGAGACUACCACCAAGGAAUGUGGACAGCCUUUAGAAGCUGGAAGAACACAAAGAUGGAUUCUCCUCCAGAAGCUCCAAGAUGGAAUGCAACUUGACCGACACCUUGAUUUUAGCCCAGGGUGACCCAUUUCAGACAUCCGACUUACAGUACGGUAAUAAAUUUGUGUUGUUCUAAGCCA
Non-coding RNA from Equus caballus (horse), 2331 nucleotides. Lineage: Eukaryota; Metazoa; Chordata; Mammalia; Perissodactyla; Equidae. The record is from RefSeq and is a predicted model, not a curated record.